Long non-coding RNA from Prosopis cineraria, 1529 nucleotides. RefSeq lists it as uncharacterized. The record is from RefSeq and is a predicted model, not a curated record. NCBI's taxonomy places the organism in Eukaryota, Viridiplantae, Streptophyta, Magnoliopsida, Fabales, Fabaceae. The transcript has 6 exons.
AAUCAUGCAUGAGUAGUACAGAGUGAUUCUUCACACUGGCCUCCUGCACAAGCUUCAUAUCGCAACAGAAGCCAAGCGACAGAGUCUCUCAUGCCUUGUUCAUGGAAAAAAGCAAGGAGCAAUCCGUAGCCUCAGUUCCGCUCGAGCUUCUUGAAAUCGAAGUUCGGAGGUCUGGAGAGAACGACAGAAGGGAUCCGACGCCGACGGAGAGGCAUUGGAGUUCGGUCGGAGGCCGGUGACUUGAUGGACGAAGAUGACGGGGCCAACUCGGACGCUUUUGCGUUUCUCCAUGCUCCUCUUCUCCCAUAAAAAUCUGAACAUAAAAAUUGUGUCGCAUCACGAGGAGUCUACACCCUGACUGAGAAAUCUCUACGUUUUCCUUUUCCCUUAGCGACGACGUCGGUGAAGUUUGCAAUUAAUGUCUUCCUCCAUACACUAUAAAUGAAGUACUGACAGUGUAUAGGAUAACCUUGAAAGAGCAGUUGAUGAUGGUGUGAAUACUUAUAAGGCCGUGUGCUGGGAUAGCCGUAAUGUACCUGGGGCUGCGGCAACUGAAAUUAACUUAGGUAGAAAACUGAUGGAAAUAUCCUUCAAGAAGAAAUGGGAUCAUGUGAUAUGCACCAUACAUAAGUAAAGUUUUUCCCUUAAACAACCAAAGGCUUGAUGAUUUAGUUAGGAAACCAAUGCAACAGUAACACCGGCCUUUCUAGUUCCGCUUUUGACUCCCCUAUUGCCACCAAGGAUGGGUUCGCUCCUCAGCGAUGAUUUGCAAGAACUCCUCAUUGAUCUAGCUAUCGUCUUCACAAGGCAAAGUCUUACUAUCAUAAUGGCUCUGAUACCAUUUGGUAUCAACCUAGAGUACGUGAUCAAGGCCAUCUUAGGAUAAGAGCCUACAUUUCAUCACAGGGCGAGGUCUUACUAUCAUAAUAGCUCCAAUACCAUUUGGUCCACGUGGCAAGUUCAUCACUGUGACAACCUAGAGUACUUCAAAACAACAUUUUACACUUGUGGCCUCUUGACAACAGCAAUCUAUCAUCAAACCUUACCUGACUAGGCCAUCUUGGGGAUAAGAUCCUACAUUUUGUCACACUAUCAUGCAGUGAGAACUUUCUAUAAAGGCUGCCUCUUCAUAAGAUUAGGUCUUCCUAUCAUAAUGGCUCUGAUAUCAUUUAGUAUUAAUUCAGAGUAUGUAAUUGAGUCAUCUUAAGAUAAGAGCCUACAUUUCAUCACAAGAUGAGGUCUUACUAUCAUAAUGGCUCUAAUACUAUUUGGUCCAUAUGAAAAAUUCAAAUUCAUCGUUGUGACAAUCUAGAGUACUUUAAAAUAACUUUUUACACUCGUUGCCUCUCGACAAUAGCAAUCCAUCAUCGCACCUUACCUAACUGGGCCAUCUUGAGGAUAAGAUAUUAUAUUUCGUCACAUUGUCAUGUAAUGAGAACUCUUCAUGGAGGCUAUCACUUCACAAGGUAAGGUCUUUCUACCAUAAUGGCUCUGAUACCAUUUAGUAUCAUUCUAGAAUAUGUGAUUGA